This 238-nucleotide ribosomal RNA is filed under the name uncultured bacterium. RNAcentral's name for it is "partial 16S ribosomal RNA". It matches the Rfam family "Bacterial small subunit ribosomal RNA", at positions 100 to 334 of the family's 1533-position model. The record is from RNAcentral.
CGGAACGGGUGAGUAACGCGUGAGGGGACUGCCUCAAAGAGGGGGACAACAGUUGGAAACGACUGCUAAUACCGCAUAAGCCCACGGGUCGGCAUCGACCAGAGGAAAAAGGAGCAAUCCGCUUUGAGAUGGCCUCGCGUCCGAUUAGCUAGUUGGUGAGGUAAUGGCCCACCAAGGCAACGAUCGGUAGCCGGACUGAGAGGUUGAACGGCCACAUUGGGACUGAGACACGGCCCAG